AGUGACAAUAUUUUUAUAAAUAUAAUUAAUUAAAAUAAGUUUCGUCAAAAACCUAUAAACGCCCUUUUUAUAUAAAUAGUUAAAUAAUUAAAAAAAUCAAAUUCUUAAAAUCUAAAGCGUAGCCUUAAAAUCCUAAAAUAAAAAAAAAAAUUCUAAAACUUAAACCACGGCCCUUACGUUUUGCAUCAUUCGACUUGUCGUCGUGUUCUGCC
This 212-nucleotide long non-coding RNA is filed under the name Linum usitatissimum (flax). RNAcentral's name for it is "long non-coding RNA (LUSI_LNC008242)". Lineage: Eukaryota; Viridiplantae; Streptophyta; Magnoliopsida; Malpighiales; Linaceae. The record is from RNAcentral.